RNAcentral lists this unclassified non-coding RNA (305 nucleotides) under plant metagenome. RNAcentral describes it as "partial contains 5.8S ribosomal RNA, internal transcribed spacer 2, and large subunit ribosomal RNA". The stretch from base 1 to 105 matches the Rfam family "5.8S ribosomal RNA", at positions 50 to 154 of the family's 154-position model. The record is from RNAcentral.
GAAAUGCGAUGAGUAAUGUGAAUUGCAGAAUUCAGUGAAUCAUCGAAUCUUUGAACGCACAUUGCGCCCGCCAGUAUUCUGGCGGGCAUGCCUGUUCGAGCGUCAUUUCAACCAUCAAGCCCCCGGCUUGUGUUGGGGACCUGCGGCUGCCCGCAGGCCCUGAAAAACGGUGGCGGGCUCGCUGUCACACCGAGCGUAGUAGCAUACAUUCUCGCUCAGGGCGUGCUGCGGGUUCCGGCCGUUAAACGACCUUCAUAACCCAAGGUUGACCUCGGAUCAGGUAGGAAGACCCGCUGAACUUAAGC